Molecule: ribosomal RNA, 425 nt
Filed under: uncultured rumen bacterium
Lineage: Bacteria
Description: bacterial SSU rRNA
Rfam family: Bacterial small subunit ribosomal RNA
Source: RNAcentral
GUGAGGAAUAUUGGUCAAUGGGCGAGAGCCUGAACCAGCCAAGUAGCGUGCAGGAUGACGGCCCUAUGGGUUGUAAACUGCUUUUAUGCGGGGAUAAAGUGGGGAACGUGUUCCCUUUUGUAGGUACCGCAUGAAUAAGGACCGGCUAAUUCCGUGCCAGCAGCCGCGGUAAUACGGAAGGUCCGGGCGUUAUCCGGAUUUAUUGGGUUUAAAGGGAGCGCAGGCCGAUGGUUAAGCGUGACGUGAAAUGUAGCCGCUCAACGGCUGAACUGCGUCGCGAACUGGCUAUCUUGAGUGAGUUCGAUGUUGGCGGAAUUCGUGGUGUAGCGGUGAAAUGCUUAGAUAUCACGAAGAACUCCGAUUGCGAAGGCAGCCAACAAGGCCUUUACUGACGCUAAAGCUCGAAGGUGCGGGUAUCGAACAGG